AUUGAACGCUGGCGGCAGGCCUAACACAUGCAAGUCGAACGGUAACAGGAAGAAGCUUGCUUCUUUGCUGACGAGUGGCGGACGGGUGAGUAAUGUCUGGGAAACUGCCUGAUGGAGGGGGAUAACUACUGGAAACGGUAGCUAAUACCGCAUAACGUCGCAAGACCAAAGAGGGGGACCUUCGGGCCUCUUGCCAUCGGAUGUGCCCAGAUGGGAUUAGCUAGUAGGUGGGGUAACGGCUCACCUAGGCGACGAUCCCUAGCUGGUCUGAGAGGAUGACCAGCCACCCUGGAACUGAGACACGGUCCAGACUCCUACGGGAGGCAGCAGUGGGGAAUAUUGCACAAUGGGCGCAAGCCUGAUGCAGCCAUGCCACGUGUAUGAAGAAGGCCUUCGGGUUGUAAAGUACUUUCAGCGGGGAGGAAGGGAGUAAAGUUAAUACCUUUGCUCAUUGACGUUACCCGCAGAAGAAGCACCGGCUAACUCCGUG
RNAcentral lists this ribosomal RNA (490 nucleotides) under uncultured bacterium. Its description in RNAcentral is "partial 16S ribosomal RNA". It matches the Rfam family "Bacterial small subunit ribosomal RNA", at positions 30 to 507 of the family's 1533-position model. The record is from RNAcentral.